This 468-nucleotide ribosomal RNA is filed under the name uncultured bacterium. Its description in RNAcentral is "partial 16S ribosomal RNA". It matches the Rfam family "Bacterial small subunit ribosomal RNA", at positions 28 to 507 of the family's 1533-position model. The record is from RNAcentral.
GACGAACGCUGGCGGCGUGCUUAACACAUGCAAGUCGAACGGAAAGGCCCUGCUUUUGUGGGGUGCUCGAGUGGCGAACGGGUGAGUAACACGUGAGUAACCUGCCCUUGACUUUGGGAUAACUUCAGGAAACUGGGGCUAAUACCGGAUAGGAGCUCCUGCUGCAUGGUGGGGGUUGGAAAGUUUCGGCGGUUGGGGAUGGACUCGCGGCUUAUCAGCUUGUUGGUGGGGUAGUUGCUUACCAAGGCUUUGACGGGUAGCCGGCCUGAGAGGGUGACCGGCAAAAUUGGGACUGAGAUACGGACCAGACUCCUACGGGAGGCAGCAGGGGGGAAUAUUGCACAAGGGGCGGAAGCAUGAUGCAGCAAAGCCGCGUGCGGGAUGACGGCCUUCGGGUUGUAAACCGCUUUCGCCUGUGACGAAGAGUGAGUGACGGUAAUGGGUAAAGAAGCACCGGCUAACUACGUG